GACGAACGCUGGCGGCGUGCUUAACACAUGCAAGUCGAACGGAAAGGCCCUGCUUUUGUGGGGUGCUCGAGUGGCGAACGGGUGAGUAACACGUGAGUAACCUGCCCUUGACUUUGGGAUAACUUCAGGAAACUGGGGUUAAUACCGGAUAGGAGCUCCUGCUGCAUGGGGGGGGUUGGAAAGUUUCGGCGGUUGGGGAUGGACUCGCGGGUUAUCAGCUUGUUGGUGGGGUAGUGGCUUACCAAGGCUUUGACGGGUAGCCGGACUGAGAGGGUGACCGGCCACAAUGGGACUGAGGUACGGCCCAGACGGCUACGGGAGGCAGAGGUGGGAAAUAUUGCACAAUGGGCGGAAGCCUGGUGCAGCAGCGCCGCGUGCGGGAAGACGGUCUGCGGGUUGUAAACCGCUUUCGCCUGUAACGAAGCGUGAGUGACGGUAAUGGGUAAAGAAGCACCGGCUAACUACGUG
RNAcentral lists this ribosomal RNA (468 nucleotides) under uncultured bacterium. Its description in RNAcentral is "partial 16S ribosomal RNA". It matches the Rfam family "Bacterial small subunit ribosomal RNA", at positions 28 to 507 of the family's 1533-position model. The record is from RNAcentral.